GCCCACAUAGCUUAGCCACCAAAGCAUGGCACUGAAGAUGCCAAGACGGUACCCACGUUACCUGAGGGC
Molecule: transfer RNA, 69 nt
Filed under: Agelastes niger
Lineage: Eukaryota; Metazoa; Chordata; Aves; Galliformes; Numididae
Description: tRNA-Phe
Rfam family: tRNA
About the family: Transfer RNA (tRNA) molecules are approximately 80 nucleotides in length. Their secondary structure includes four short double-helical elements and three loops (D, anti-codon, and T loops).
Source: RNAcentral